GAUGAAGAACGUAGCGAAAUGCGAUAAGUAAUGUGAAUUGCAGAAUUCAGUGAAUCAUCGAAUCUUUGAACGCAUCUUGCGCUACUUGGUAUUCUGAGGAGCAUGCCUGUUUGAGUGUCAUUAAAUUCUCAACUACACUGACUUUGAAUUGGUGUGGCUUGGAUUUGGGGGGAAAAUUGUUGUGGGCUUUUUGUAUAGUCUGCUCCCCUGAAAUUGAUUAGCGGUACCUUUGUGGAACUGUCUACAGGUGUGAUAAUUAUCUACAUCUUAGACAUCUGCUGGAAUGCUGCUUUCUAAACCUUACUUGUAUUGACAAUCUUGACCUCAAAUCAGGUAGGACUACCCGCUGAACUUAAGCAUAUCAAUAAGCGGAGGA
This 376-nucleotide unclassified non-coding RNA is filed under the name soil metagenome. Its description in RNAcentral is "partial contains 5.8S ribosomal RNA, internal transcribed spacer 2, and large subunit ribosomal RNA". The stretch from base 1 to 120 matches the Rfam family "5.8S ribosomal RNA", at positions 35 to 154 of the family's 154-position model. The record is from RNAcentral.